CCUACGGGUGGCAGCAGUGGGGAAUAUUGCACAAUGGGGGAAACCCUGAUGCAGCGACGCCGCGUGAGUGAAGAAGUAAUUCGUUAUGUAAAGCUCUAUCAGCAGGGAAGAAAAUGACGGGACCUGAGUAAGAAGCCCCGGCUAACUACGUGCCAGCAGCCGCGGUAAUAAGUAGGGGGCAAGCGUUAUACGGAUUUACUGGGUGUAAAGGGAGCGUAGACGGCAGUGCAAGUCUGGAGUGAAAGGCGGGGGCUCAACCCCCGGACUGCUCUGGAAACUGUACGGCUGGAGUGCAGGAGAGGUAAGUGGAAUUCCUAGUGUAGCGGUGAAAUGCGUAGAUAUUAGGAGGAACACCAGUGGCGAAGGCGGCUUACUGGACUGUAACUGACGUUGAGGCUCGAAAGCGUGGGGAGCAAACAGGAUUAGAUACCCUGGUAGUC
Molecule: ribosomal RNA, 440 nt
Filed under: uncultured bacterium
Lineage: Bacteria
Description: partial 16S ribosomal RNA
Rfam family: Bacterial small subunit ribosomal RNA
Source: RNAcentral